Small nuclear RNA from Myotis myotis, 107 nucleotides. NCBI's taxonomy places the organism in Eukaryota, Metazoa, Chordata, Mammalia, Chiroptera, Vespertilionidae. The record is from RefSeq and is a predicted model, not a curated record.
GUGCUCCCUUCGGCAGCACAAAUACUCAAAUUGGAACGAUACAGAGAAGAUUAGCAUGGCCCCUGGGCAAGGAUGACAUGCAAAUUCGUGAAGCUGCCCAUAUUUUU